Molecule: long non-coding RNA, 865 nt
Filed under: Equus caballus (horse)
Lineage: Eukaryota; Metazoa; Chordata; Mammalia; Perissodactyla; Equidae
Description: lncRNA (ENSECAG00000052971.1)
Source: RNAcentral
CACCUUUUGGCUGUUGUGAAUAAGGCUGCUGUGAACACUGGUGUGCAGAUAUCUGUUUGGGUCCCUGCGUUCACUUCUUUUGGAAGAUAUAUGCAUAGGUGUGGAAUUGCCAGGGAGGUCGGCUGCCAUGCUUUCAGGACACUCUGGCAAUCCAUGAAGAGAGCCAUGAGGUGAGGACCUGAGGCCUGCUGUCGACAGCCGUAUGCGUGAGUCUUGGAAGAGAUCCUCCAGCAUCUGUCGAGCCUUCCAGUGAUGGCAGCCCUCGCUGGUGCCUUGAGCACUCUCUCACAAGUGGCCUUGAGUCAGAGGCAUCCUGCUAAGCCACUCCUGAAUUCCUGACCACAGACACUGAGAGGCCACGUGUGGGUGUUCCGGCAGGCCUGCUGAGCUCCCCACAGACAGCCAACAACUGUCAGCCAUGUGAGUGGAUGGUCCAGGACGUCCAGCCCAGCCAGACCUCCAGAUGACUCCAGCCCUAGCCGACAUGUGGCUGCAACAAGUAAGAGACGCUAUGCGAGAACCAUCCAGCUGAGCCUUCCUGGGGUCUAGACCCGUGAAUCAGAAGCUAAGUCAGUUUGUCACACAGCAGUAGCAACUUGAACAGGCAACUUUUGGAGGAAACCAAGCGAGGAGGGCUCGUAUGCUGUCUCUGACUGCGGCCUUUUUGCCCAUGAAAACAUCAGCCUUUAUGAGAGGUGCCCCAAAGGGGCUUUCCCACGCACUCCAGUUAUAAGGCAAACCCACCUCAAAGUGAAAAGUAUUAUGUACCACUACACAAAUACACGUCCCAUAAAGCAAAGUAGAAGUGAAAAUAAAAAUAACCAGAAGUGUGAGAGGUCAGUGAGGGUCAGGUUCUCUCUCUUGG